Molecule: small nucleolar RNA, 133 nt
Organism: Protopterus annectens (West African lungfish)
Lineage: Eukaryota; Metazoa; Chordata; Ceratodontiformes; Protopteridae
Product: small nucleolar RNA SNORA13
Exons: 1
Source: RefSeq, a predicted model, not a curated record
GGCCCUUGUGUUGCCCAUUCAUUUUUGCUGUUUGUGAAUGAGGUGUCAAAAGGGGCAAAAAGUAAAAUUCCUUGUGGCAUUUUAAUUUGCCUUGUAUUUUAUGGGAGGCUGUUGUUGCUCACUUGGAACAAGU